AUGGCGGAUGAGAAGCUCGCCAAGCUGCGCGAGGUCUCAGGUAAUUUCUUUGUGCUGCAUCAGAGAUGGUUCUGCUCCCGUUCGUCAUCCAUGGUGUCGAUCUUGUCAGUGCAAUCUCGCGACGGAUGGGUUCUAUUCAUCCUUUCCAGCGAGUUCUACAACGAGCAGCUACUAUCGCUCACUAACUUCCCGCACAACGCAGUGUGGCAGGGCGACAGAUGCAGUGCGGCAGGGCGACGGAUGCAGUGCGGCAAGGCGACGGGUGUAGUGUGGCACUCACGGCAGCAGCGAACCCACUGA
This 300-nucleotide ribosomal RNA is filed under the name Triticum aestivum (bread wheat). RNAcentral describes it as "partial small subunit ribosomal RNA". Lineage: Eukaryota; Viridiplantae; Streptophyta; Magnoliopsida; Poales; Poaceae. The record is from RNAcentral.